GAUGAACGCUGGCGGCGUGCCUAAUACAUGCAAGUCGAGCGAACGGACGAGAAGCUUGCUUCUCUGAUGUUAGCGGCGGACGGGUGAGUAACACGUGGAUAACCUACCUAUAAGACUGGGAUAACUUCGGGAAACCGGAUCUAAUACCGGAUGAUAUUUUGAACCGCAUGGUUCAAAAGUGAAAGACGGUCUUACUGUCACUUAUAGAUGGAUCCGCGCUGCAUUAGCUAGUUGGUAAGGUAACGGCUUACCAAGGCAACGAUGCAUAGCCGACCUGAGAGGGUGAUCGGCCACACUGGAACUGAGACACGGUCCAGACUCCUACGGGAGGCAGCAGUAGGGAAUCUUCCGCAAUGGGCGAAAGCCUGACGGAGCAACGCCGCGUGAGUGAUGAAGGUCUUCGGAUCGUAAAACUCUGUUAUUAGGGAAGAACAUAUGUGUAAGUAACUGUGCACAUCUUGACGGUACCUAAUCAGAAAGCCACGGCUAACUACGUG
RNAcentral lists this ribosomal RNA (497 nucleotides) under uncultured bacterium. Its description in RNAcentral is "partial 16S ribosomal RNA". It matches the Rfam family "Bacterial small subunit ribosomal RNA", at positions 28 to 507 of the family's 1533-position model. The record is from RNAcentral.